AGUGAACGCUGGCGGUAGGCCUAACACAUGCAAGUCGAACGGCAGCACAGUAAGAGCUUGCUCUUACGGGUGGCGAGUGGCGGACGGGUGAGGAAUACAUCGGAAUCUACUUUUUCGUGGGGGAUAACGUAGGGAAACUUACGCUAAUACCGCAUACGACCUACGGGUGAAAGCAGGGGAUCUUCUGACCUUGCGCGAUUGAAUGAGCCGAUGUCGAAUUAGCUAGUUGGCGGGGUAAAGGCCCACCAAGGCGACGAUCCGUAGCUGGUCAGAGAGGGUGGUCAGCCACACUGGAACUGAGACACGGUCCAGACUCCUACGGGAGGCAGCAGUGGGGAAUAUUGGACAAUGGGCGCAAGCCUGAUCCAGCCAGACCGCGUGGGUGAAGAAGGCCUUCGGGUUGUAAAGCCCUUUUGUUGGGAAAGAAAAGCAGCAGGUUAAUACCCCGCUGUUCUGACGGUACCCAAAGAAUAAGCACCGGCUAACUUCGUG
This 492-nucleotide ribosomal RNA is filed under the name uncultured bacterium. RNAcentral's name for it is "partial 16S ribosomal RNA". It matches the Rfam family "Bacterial small subunit ribosomal RNA", at positions 29 to 507 of the family's 1533-position model. The record is from RNAcentral.